UGCACUUUGGUUGUCCUUCUCCUUGAGCUU
This 30-nucleotide non-coding RNA is filed under the name Rattus norvegicus (Norway rat). The record is from RNAcentral. Lineage: Eukaryota; Metazoa; Chordata; Mammalia; Rodentia; Muridae.